RNAcentral lists this ribosomal RNA (501 nucleotides) under uncultured bacterium. RNAcentral describes it as "partial 16S ribosomal RNA". It matches the Rfam family "Bacterial small subunit ribosomal RNA", at positions 28 to 507 of the family's 1533-position model. The record is from RNAcentral.
GACGAACGCUGGCGGCGUGCUUAACACAUGCAAGUCGAACGGUGACGCACCUUCCUUUUGGUGGGUGUGGAUGAGUGGCGAACGGGUGAGUAACACGUGAGUAACCUGCCCCCUUCUUCUGGAUAACCGCAUGCAAGUGUGGCUAAUACGGGAUAUUCUGUGCCUGCUGCAUGGUGGGUGUGGGUAAGGUGCGCUUUUGGGUGUUUUUGGUGGGGUCUGGGCUCGCGGCCUAUCAGCUUGUUGGUGGGGUGAUGGCCUACCAAGGCGGUGACGGGUAGCCGGCCUGAGAGGGUGGACGGUCACACUGGGACUGAGACACGGCACAGAAUCCUACGGGAGGCAGCAGUGGGGAAUAGUGCACGAUGGGCGCAAGCCUGAUGCAGCGACGCCGCGUGAGGGAUGGAGGCCUUCGGGUUGUAAACCUCUUUCGCCAGUGAAGCAGGCCUGUCCCUUGUGGGUGGGUUGACGGUAGCUAGAUAAGAAGCGCCGGCUAACUACGUG